RNAcentral lists this ribosomal RNA (253 nucleotides) under uncultured bacterium. RNAcentral describes it as "partial 16S ribosomal RNA". It matches the Rfam family "Bacterial small subunit ribosomal RNA", at positions 524 to 776 of the family's 1533-position model. The record is from RNAcentral.
UACAGAGGUCCCGAGCGUUGUUCGGAUUCAUUGGGCGUAAAGGGUGCGUAGGCGGCGGGGAAAGUCUGAUGUGAAAUCCUGGGGCUCAACCUUUGAAUGUCAGUGGAUACUGCCGGGCUAGAGUCCGGAAGAGGCGAGUGGAACUCCUGGUGUAGCGGUGGAAUGCGCAGAUAUCAGGAAGAACACCAACGGCGAAGGCAGCUCGCUGGGACGGUACUGACGCUGAGACGCGAAAGCGUGGGGAGCGAACAGG